RNAcentral lists this ribosomal RNA (527 nucleotides) under uncultured bacterium. RNAcentral describes it as "partial 16S ribosomal RNA". It matches the Rfam family "Bacterial small subunit ribosomal RNA", at positions 355 to 901 of the family's 1533-position model. The record is from RNAcentral.
UGGGGAAUAUUGGACAAUGGGCGAAAGCCUGAUCCAGCAAUGCCGCGUGAGUGAUGAAGGCCUUAGGGUUGUAAAGCUCUUUCGCACGCGACGAUGAUGACGGUAGCGUGAGAAGAAGCCCCGGCUAACUUCGUGCCAGCAGCCGCGGUAAUACGAAGGGGGCUAGCGUUGUUCGGAAUUACUGGGCGUAAAGGGCGCGUAGGCGGCUCGUCAAGUCAGGCGUGAAAUCCCCGAGCUUAACUUGGGAAUAGCGCUUGAGACUGGCGAGCUUGAGUCCGGGAGAGGUGAGUGGAAUUCCCAGUGUAGAGGUGAAAUUCGUAGAUAUUGGGAAGAACACCAGUGGCGAAGGCGGCUCACUGGACCGGCACUGACGCUGAGGCGCGAAAGCGUGGGGAGCAAACAGGAUUNGAUACCCUGGUAGUCACGCCGUAAACGAUGAGUGCUAGACGUUGGGGUCCUUAGGGCUUCGUGUCNCAGCUAACGCAUUAAGCACUCCGCCUGGGGAGUACGGCCGCAAGGUUGAAACU